Molecule: ribosomal RNA, 646 nt
Filed under: Skelosophusa eumeces
Lineage: Eukaryota; Metazoa; Arthropoda; Malacostraca; Decapoda; Deckeniidae
Description: SSU rRNA
Rfam family: Eukaryotic small subunit ribosomal RNA
Source: RNAcentral
CAGCCGCAACAGCCCGCUGGCUCACACGGGGUGCUCUUCAUCGAGUGUCCCGCGUGGCCGGCAGAGUUUACUUUGAAAAAAUUAGAGUGCUCAAAGCAGGCUACACUGACGGCCUGAAUGCCUAUGCAUGGAAUAAUGGAAUAGGACCUCGGUUCUAUUUUGUCGGUUUUCUGAACCCGAGGUAAUGACUAAUAGGAACAGGCGGGGGCAUUCGUAUUGCGACGCUAGAGGUGAAAUUCUUGGACCGUCGCAAGACGAACUACUGCGAAAGCAUUUGCCAAGGAUGUUUUCAUUAAUCAAGAACGAAAGUUAGAGGUUCGAAGGCGAUCAGAUACCGCCCUAGUUCUAACCAUAAACGAUGCUGACCAGCGAUCCGCCGGCGUUAUUCCCAUGACCCGGCGGGCAGCUUCCGGGAAACCAAAGUCUUUGGGUUCCGGGGGAAGUAUGGUUGCAAAGCUGAAACUUAAAGGAAUUGACGGAAGGGCACCACCAGAAGUGGAGCCUGCGGCUUAAUUUGACUCAACACGGGGAACCUCACCAGGCCCAGACACCGGAAGGAUUGACAGAUUGAGAGCUCUUUCUCGAUUCGGUGGGUGGUGGUGCAUGGCCGUUCUUANUUGGUGGAGCGAUUUGUCUGGUUAAUUCC